GUCCACGCUGUAACGAUGAGUACUAGGUGUCGGCUGUCAAAGGUCGGUGCCGGCGUUAACACAUUAAGUACUCCGCCUGGGGAGUACGCUCGCAAGAGUGAACUCAAAGGAAUUGACGGGGACCCGCACAAGUAGCGGAGCAUGUGGUUAAUUCGAAGCAACGCGAAGAACCUUACCUAGGCUUGACAUCCCUUUGCAAAGCCCUUAACCGGGCUCCUCUUGUUCGCAAGACAAAGGUGACAGGUGGUGCAUGGUUGUCGU
This 261-nucleotide ribosomal RNA is filed under the name uncultured bacterium. Its description in RNAcentral is "partial 16S ribosomal RNA". It matches the Rfam family "Bacterial small subunit ribosomal RNA", at positions 793 to 1055 of the family's 1533-position model. The record is from RNAcentral.